RNAcentral lists this long non-coding RNA (373 nucleotides) under Mytilus galloprovincialis (Mediterranean mussel). Lineage: Eukaryota; Metazoa; Mollusca; Bivalvia; Mytilida; Mytilidae. The record is from RNAcentral.
UUUACACUAAAUCCAUUGGAUGUUGGAUGUGUACGGAUUGAUAAUUUAGUCUUAGAUGCAUGAUUUUUUUAUUAGUUGUAAGUGGCUUUGAACUAGCUGUCAGAUAACUACGAGUACUCUCAGAUCUGUUCAUAGUGUCCUUUUGUUGUCGGGAUGUACAAGUACCCUGCCACGUCCAUUUGUAUUUUUGUCCAUUUGAUGAGUUAAGCCUUUUUCAACUGAUUUUUUAUAGUUUGUUCUUAUGUUGUACUGUUAUACCACUGUCCCAGGUUAGGGGAGGGUUGGGAUCCCACUAACCUGUUUAACCCUGCCACAUCAUUUAUGUAUGUGCCUGUCCCAAGUCAGGAGCCUGUAAUUCAGUGGUUGUCGUUUG